CAGCAGCCGCGGUAAUACGAAGGGUGCAAGCGUUACUCGGAAUUACUGGGCGUAAAGCGUGCGUAGGUGGUGGUUUAAGUCCGUUGUGAAAGCCCUGGGCUCAACCUGGGAAUUGCAGUGGAUACUGGGUCACUAGAGUGUGGUAGAGGAUUGUGGAAUUUCCGGUGUAGCAGUGAAAUGCGUAGAGAUCGGAAGGAACAUCUGUGGCGAAGGCGACUAUCUGGGCCAACACUGACACUGAGGCACGAAAGCGUGGGGAGCAAACAGGAUUAGAUACCCCAGUAGUCCCUGUCUCUUAUAC
RNAcentral lists this ribosomal RNA (301 nucleotides) under uncultured bacterium. RNAcentral describes it as "partial 16S ribosomal RNA". It matches the Rfam family "Bacterial small subunit ribosomal RNA", at positions 509 to 807 of the family's 1533-position model. The record is from RNAcentral.